Molecule: transfer RNA, 77 nt
Filed under: Dehalococcoidia bacterium
Lineage: Bacteria; Bacillati; Chloroflexota; Dehalococcoidia
Description: tRNA-Asp
Rfam family: tRNA
About the family: Transfer RNA (tRNA) molecules are approximately 80 nucleotides in length. Their secondary structure includes four short double-helical elements and three loops (D, anti-codon, and T loops).
Source: RNAcentral
GGACCCGUGGUGUAGUGGCCUAACAUACUGCCCUGUCAAGGCAGAGAUCGCCGGUUCGAAUCCGGUCGGGUCCGCCA